This 144-nucleotide transfer-messenger RNA is filed under the name Staphylococcus haemolyticus. RNAcentral describes it as "partial transfer-messenger RNA". It matches the Rfam family "transfer-messenger RNA", at positions 228 to 374 of the family's 374-position model. Rfam says of the family: Bacterial tmRNA, also known as 10Sa RNA or SsrA, is named for its dual tRNA and mRNA-like properties. Its role is to liberate the mRNA from a stalled ribosome. Lineage: Bacteria; Bacillati; Bacillota; Bacilli; Caryophanales; Staphylococcaceae. The record is from RNAcentral.
CUGUUUAGAAGAAAUCCAAUCAAACUAGCAUAAUACUGGUUGUCUGUUGCUUACUAUUAUGCGAAAUUCAUCAAUAGACUACACACGUAGAAAGGUGUGUAUCAGGACCUCUGGACGCGGGUUCGAAUCCCGCCGUCUCCACUA